Molecule: ribosomal RNA, 253 nt
Filed under: uncultured bacterium
Lineage: Bacteria
Description: partial 16S ribosomal RNA
Rfam family: Bacterial small subunit ribosomal RNA
Source: RNAcentral
UACGGAGGGUGCGAGCGUUAAUCGGAAUUACUGGGCGUAAAGCGCACGCAGGCGGUUUGUUAAGCUAGAUGUGAAAGCCCCGGGCUCAACCUGGGAUGGUCAUUUAGAACUGGCAGACUAGAGUCUUGGAGAGGGGAGUGGAACUCCAGGUGUAGCGGUGAAAUGCGUAGAUAUCUGGAGGAACAUCAGUGGCGAAGGCGACUCCCUGGCCAAAGACUGACGCUCAUGUGCGAAAGUGUGGGUAGCGAACAGG